Long non-coding RNA from Ictalurus punctatus (channel catfish), 1718 nucleotides. RefSeq lists it as uncharacterized. The transcript is spliced from 2 exons. The record is from RefSeq and is a predicted model, not a curated record. Lineage: Eukaryota; Metazoa; Chordata; Actinopteri; Siluriformes; Ictaluridae.
UCACAUCCCCAAUAGCAGUAUCAGGCCGAACAGGCCACAGAGUAGUGAUGUGUGAGUGAGUGCUUAUAGUGUUCUGAAUUCUGUCUCUCUUACUGUGGACCAGUGUGUGUCUCUCAGUGUUCUCUACAAAUAACUGGUGGCAGGGUGUGGAUCUCUUUGCUCAGUUGUGUCAAAGCUCUUACAGGUUUACUUUGGAAGUGGGGAGUGGCUUCGGUUCCUCACUGUGUCUGGGCAGCACUUUCAAGGACUGUCAAACCUGAGAAUGCUGAAGUUUUGGGUCAAUCUCAGGUUCGUCAGCCCAUGAAAAGCUGUCUCCAUCCAAUCCUAGUAUGAGCAGUAAAGUUUUAGUUUUUUGUGUCAUUUUUUAGCAAUGUGGUAAUUUUUGGUGACCUGAUUAGUGAUUUCAGAAGCGUUACAUCUACCUAUUUAUUUAAAAUUGUUAAUAUACAUUUUGCAUUACUAUAUGGAUUACAUACAAUUAAACCUACUCUUCAUUUAUAUAUGAAUUUAUUUGUUCCUGUUGAUCCUGCUUUUUUAUUAUUAAGGAGCAUGAUGUGUUAUGUUGUGACAUUUAUCACUUUGUAUUAUUUCUCAAUAUUGAAUGUUUAUUAAUUCACUGCAAAUGAAAAAUCUGGUUAACUGCCAAAAUAAAUGAUGUACACAUUCUUCAUCAGUUUAUUUAUUUAAUCCAUUUUAAAGGGCAGCUUAAUUGGGGUUUGUGGAGUUUACAACCAUUUAAAAUCCUUUGAACAUCAUCUAGUUUAACAAAUUCCUUGGGUAUUUCAUGCUCAUAAAGUUACCAGAACAAACUUUACUUCAUGAUACAGCAAAGUAAAUCUAUUGAGAGUAACAGACCUUUACAUUUGAGUAGCCCUGCCGUUUCACUGUAUAAUGGCAAGUUAGCAAUACAAAAAUGUCAAUUUCCUUAGUGUAGUGCAAAAUUAUGACAUAAUUUACACCACAAAACCAUUCUUUUGACAUAUUCCAUACUCUUCUAUUUAAUAAAAUCACACUAAGAUCACACAGCAUCACAUUUCUGGAUGUAUCUUUAAUGUAAUAGAAAGUACCUUUGAAAUACUGAGCACAUAACAUGGGGUUCAUACCUGCUACAUAACAGUUUUUUUGUGUUUGUCGAAGGCAUGGGGGUUGAGUUAAAAAAAAAAAAAAAGUCUUUAGUGUUAUUACAGCUGUGACUGUUAUGAACUAUGUUCUAUUUGAUAUUCAUAAAAAUAUUUACCAUAAUCAUAAAUAGCUGAAACCAGUAAACUAAUGUGAAUGGGAAUAAAAUAUUUUCGAACAUGCUGCAGUUAACAGUUGCCUUAAAUAAAUGCCUUUUUUAUUUUUAAAUAAAAAGAUUUCUCUAUAAAUCAGUGUAAAACUGUUUUGUUAUUAAUCAUCAUUAUUUUUGUCACCAUUAUGCCAUGCUGAGAUUUACAUUUCAAUUAAAUUAAAGUGAAAGAUCACAGCUACACUUGCUGUUCACAUAAUCUAAAAUUGCUGGAGCUCGGCACGGCUACCUUCCCUCCUCAUAAUUAGCUUUUCUGUCAGAGAGCACAGAAAAUGUAAUAUUGAAUUGUUUGUGGUAUUUUUGGUAUAGCCUGUUUCUUUGAUGGUUGUUUGCAAUUUGGCACAAAAAAAAGAAAAGAAAAAAACUGUUGACAGAAUGAGUGCAAAAAGAUUAUUUCAGAAUUUGAUGAAAAUUGAAAAAAGCAAAAGAA